This 497-nucleotide ribosomal RNA is filed under the name uncultured bacterium. RNAcentral describes it as "partial 16S ribosomal RNA". It matches the Rfam family "Bacterial small subunit ribosomal RNA", at positions 28 to 507 of the family's 1533-position model. The record is from RNAcentral.
GAUGAACGCUGGCGGCGUGCCUAAUACAUGCAAGUCGAGCGAACAGAUGAGGAGCUUGCUCCUCUGACGUUAACGGCGUACGGGUGAGUAACACGUGGAUAACCUACCUAUAAGACUGGGAUAACUUCGGGAAACCGGAGCUAAUACCGGAUAAUAUAUUGAACCGCAUGGUUCAAUAGUUAAAGACGGUUUUGCUGUCACUUAUAGAUGUAUCCGCGCCGCAUUAGCUAGUUGGUAAGGUAACGGCUUACCAAGGCAACGAUGCGUAGCCGACCUGAGAGGGUGAUCGGCCACACAGGAACUGAGACACGGUCCAGACACCUACGGGAGGCAGCAGUAGGGACUCUUCCGCAAUGGGCGAAGGCCUGACGGAGCAACGCCGCGUGAGUGAUGAAGGUCUUCGGAUCGUAAAACUCUGUUAUUAGGGAAGAACAAAUGUGUAAGUAACUAUGCACGUCUUGACGGUACCUAAUCAGAAAGCAACGGCUAACUACGUG